RNAcentral lists this long non-coding RNA (1012 nucleotides) under Macaca fascicularis (crab-eating macaque). RNAcentral's name for it is "lncRNA (ENSMFAG00000053375.1)". The record is from RNAcentral. Lineage: Eukaryota; Metazoa; Chordata; Mammalia; Primates; Cercopithecidae.
UUAGUAGAGAUGGGGUUUCACCACAUUGGCCAGGCUAGUCUCGAACUCCUGACCUCAGGUGAUCUGCCCACCUCAGCCUCCCAAAGUGCUGGGAUUUCAGGUGUGAGCCACUAUGCCUGGCCUAUUUAUUUAUUUUAGAGACAGGGUCUUGUUCUGUCACCCAGGCUGGAGUGCAGUGGCACCAUCAUGGCUCAGUGCAGUCUCAAAUUACUGGGCUUAAGCAAUCCUCCUAUCUCAGCCUCCCAAGUAGUUGGGUCUACAGGCGUGCAGCACCAUGCUUGGCUAGUUUUUACAUUUUUCAUAGAGACAGGAUCGCACUUCUCAAGCAAUUCUCCCACCUUGGUCUCCCAAAGCGCUGAGAUUACAGGCAUGAGCCAACCAUUCCCGGCCCCCUGCUCUCUUUCUCAGCUCCUCACCCGCCAACUUCACUAAUGAAGUUUCCAGAAGAUGCUUGCACACCUGUGGUAUCCACACACCGCCCUGCAUCUCUGCAUCCCAGAGCUGGCCAUGAUACCUCCCAUGCCACUGUACUUCUUACAGCAUGGUGCCAAUACUCGUCCCUUUGAGAAGUGGGGUCUUUGUUCCCUUCCCUUGAGUUUUGGCAGGCCUAUGACUAUGUCAGAGGUAAAGUUAUGUGACUUCCGAGACUGGAUCAUGAACGGCAACACCGCUUCUGCCCAGUUCCUUAGAAUGAAGGAAGGCUGGCACCAUGGUGUGAGGAAGCCCAGGCUACACAGAGGCUGCAUGUGGAUGCUCCAGCCAACUGCCCCAGCCAAGGCUCAACCGCCAGACAUGGGCAUGAAGACAUCUUCAGAGCAACUCUGGCCCCAGCCACCGUGAUGGCAGGAGAGGCUCCCAGGGAGAACCAGUCAACCCCCAGGACUGUGGGACGUAGUAACAAAAUCUUGUUGGGGGCGAUGUGUUACCUAAAGAACAAUGAACAAAAAAUGCUGGUGUGUCACUGGUGCCUCCAGUGUUCCUACCUCACUGUUCUGAGACCUCACUUUUCAUA